GACGAACCGUACAAACGUUAUUCGGAAUCACUGGGCUUAAAGGGUGCGUAGGCGGCGCGGGAAGUAGGGUGUGAAAUCCCUCGGCUCAACCGAGGAAUUGCGCCCUAAACUACCGUGCUCGAGGGAGAUAGAGGUGAGCGGAACUUAGGGUGGAGCGGUGAAAUGCGUUGAUAUCCUAAGGAACACCGGUGGCGAAAGCGGCUCACUGGAUCUCUUCUGACGCUGAGGCACGAAAGCUAGGGUAGCGAACGGG
This 253-nucleotide ribosomal RNA is filed under the name uncultured bacterium. RNAcentral describes it as "partial 16S ribosomal RNA". It matches the Rfam family "Bacterial small subunit ribosomal RNA", at positions 524 to 776 of the family's 1533-position model. The record is from RNAcentral.